UCCUUGGCGCUCAAGACCUUGAUUCCUUGACUGAUUCAGUAGAUUAUACUGCUUGCUGCUGGGUUUGUUCAAUUUGUUUCUCGAUUUGUUUGUGACAUUCGAACUUGAGAUUCGAUAAACCAUCGUCGUCUGUGGCCGAUCCAUUCGAUCUUUGUUUAAGUCGCCGUAUUGUUCGCGUUGGUGUUAAACGAGUUUCUUUCGUCUUUUCUAUUACGAUUUUAGGGCCAUCUUUGGAAAAUCUGUUCCCCCAUGAUUAUUAGGUUCGCUUUGAUCUUUGUUAUGUGGUAUUAUCCGUACACCACAUUAAUAGCUUUCUGGGUAUUCUUGACAAGAGACAGAUUGUUUGCACAUCCAUCGUCAAGUACACUUAGUUUAUUGAUGGAUUGAACUUAUGGAUUAUUGCAUUUAAUGCAUGUACCCGUUUUCAAUUUUUAGAAGGCUAGUUAGUAAAUCUCUACCUCUACCCUAAAACUGGCCAGAGCUGAAGUCAUAUGUAUGUGGCACAUUCAGGGAAUCCAAAAUAUCACAUCUUCUGAUGAAAUGAAAUUAUGAAAAUGUCUAUGGCUAUAUCUAAUCUACAUUGUGAAAUAAAGAAAAUUUAAUGAGCUUAUAGGGUGACAUUAGAAUGUGUUGUGUUUAUUGUCUCCUGGUUGUUCUAGUGUCGGGUUAGUUUGAGUAGCUCACCAACGAUGCUCAUUUCUUUUCUUAAGAGUAUCCCAACAUUUUAUUUGUUUAAGUUUAUUACAGUAGGGGCUUACCCUUAGCAAUUUCCUCAGCCUUUUAAAAGCCAUAAGCCACAAGAAAAUAUCCCUCCAUGGAGAAUUCCAGUGAAAACAAAAUAAAAAAGAUGGCUUUUGUAAAUAAACAUCGUCAUCCAGGAUAGGUGUCUAUCGUACAAUUUGUAACUUCUAUUAUCUCGUUCCAUGCACUGGUCAAAUGUAUAACCACUUACUAUCUUUAGUGAUUGCCUCUGCUUCCAAAGUUCAAUCAAGUAGAUUAUGUGAUUGGAAACUUUGAAUACAACUAAACAAAAAUCUUAUAUAUGUGGUAGAAUAUUUUCUAUUUUUAAAUGCUUGCAAAUUAUCCUAUGGCAUAGUAUUUUACUGUCACUACUUUUAUGAUUUUUAGAUUUCAUUACAGUUUUAUCGCAUGUCAGUAUUAUCUGGUAGUAUCAGUUUAAAAAAUAGAUAUUUCUCUCUGUGUGGGUGAAUAAUAUAUGCUGGCAAUCGUUGCACUGGAAACAACUGAUAUAGCUUGAUAGUAAUGGUUUUAGCCAUUAAAAAUUGCCCAGGCAAUAUUCUGCAGUUCAGAUGUGUCUUUUACGGUAUCACUAAUGCUGAGUUUGUAUUAUGACUCUAAUUUGUGCAAUAUAAUCAUUAGAUGUAUUAAAGAUUAUUCUCUGGCGAACUGGUCAGUGCAUUGUAUCUGCAAAUUGUUUUUUGCCUUUAGAAUGGUUUGUGAUUCUUUGGCUACCUGGAAGAUAAACUGGAUUUGUAGCACUGGUCGAGGAGGGGGUGAUAAAGAUAACCGAUAACCUUAAUCAUAUAUAUCAGUUUCAUAAAUGUCCGAGCAAAGCAUUUGCUUUCCAUCACUGAAAAAAAGCAUGUUUCCUAGUAAUAUUUGCAAGCAAAUAUGCUGGUGUAGUUGAUUUCGUUGUAAAAAAAAUGGAAAUAUACACUUCAAAACAACUUAAUUAGUUAAAAAAAAAUCAGUGCCUAUGUUCUCAAUUUUCCACCAUGAAGUUUUUUCUCUUUCAGAUUUUGCAUCAGGAUCUUGGGGUCCGUUUAUGGAACGAUCUUUUGAUGCACCUUUUGGUAGCCUCUCAAAUGCCUUUGAGGGAGCCGCAGCCUCAGAGUACACUGAAGAGAUUGUUUCCUGAGAUCUUAAUUCAGUCUGAAUGAGUUUGACUAUGGAUAGUUUUGUUUGGCUAUACCACUUUGUGAUAAAUUAAAUUAAUGCCUUCUAAACCAACUGCACCAUCAUAAAUCACAGCAUGCUUUACUUUGUCUCACAGAAAUAUGAUUUAAUGUAUGUUUCGUGUUUUUUCUGUUACUGUUGCCACCUUGGGCAUGACCUGGCCCCACAUGUGAGGAAGAGAAACAAGGUAUGGAUGGGCACACAAAGUGCCAAACAACCACCACAAGGGUGAGAAGUGCAUAAGUUGCAAACAACGAGCACACAGCCCUGAUAUGAGGAAUUGAACCUUCAAUCUUUUUAGAAUCCAUCGGGAAUCAUUACCACCCCUGUAACGAGACAGUAAGGAGCAAGUGCUUUGCUAGGUGCAUCGCAAAGCCCGGAACAAGCUUGAGUGGAAGUGAGAGUAGUUGCAUCUCACGUUGCGUGGAUCGUUACAUCGAGGCAACUGGUAUCAUUGGUCGAGCUCUUUUCAGUUCACCUCACUAGUUUUAAACUUUUCUAAGUUCAGCAGGGAGCCCAGUGGUUUUGAGCCCCUUGCAUGAAUAUGCAUUCAUUCUUUUCAUGCGA
This is a long non-coding RNA of Musa acuminata AAA Group (dessert banana), 2484 nucleotides long. RefSeq lists it as uncharacterized. Lineage: Eukaryota; Viridiplantae; Streptophyta; Magnoliopsida; Zingiberales; Musaceae. The record is from RefSeq and is a predicted model, not a curated record. The transcript has 2 exons.